UUUUUUUGAAAUUUUUACAGUUCCCUGUUGUCUAGAUUUUUCAAAAUUCCUUUCUCCAUCACAUAGGUUUUUUUUACUUAAUCAAGAGUUGAUUUUAUUAAUAUAUGAGAUCUUCAACACAUAUAAAACCAUUAGUCAAAGCAUGAAGAUUACACUUGAUCAUGAGAACAUCACACAGACGUCACAAGAACAUGAUUACCUCAAUAUCCAAAUUAUAAAGACAUCAACCCUGCAGGAUA
Molecule: long non-coding RNA, 239 nt
Filed under: Theobroma cacao (cacao)
Lineage: Eukaryota; Viridiplantae; Streptophyta; Magnoliopsida; Malvales; Malvaceae
Description: long non-coding RNA (TCAC_LNC004362)
Source: RNAcentral